ACAGCAGUCGCCGCGGUAAGACAGAGGAUGCAAGCGUUAUUCGGAAUGAUUGGGCAUAAAGCGUCUGUAGGUGGCUUUUCAAGUCCACCGUCAAAUCCCCGGGCUCAACCCUGGACAGGCAGUGGAAACUACCAAGCUGGAGUACGGUAGAGGCAGAGGGAAUUUCCGGUGGAGCGGCGAAAUGCGUUGAGAUCGGAAAGAACACCAACGGCGAAAGCACUCUGCUGGGCCGACACUGACACUGAGAGACGAAAGCUAGGGGAGCAAAUGGGAUUAGAUACCCCCGUAGUCCCUGUCUCUUAUAC
This 305-nucleotide ribosomal RNA is filed under the name uncultured bacterium. Its description in RNAcentral is "partial 16S ribosomal RNA". It matches the Rfam family "Bacterial small subunit ribosomal RNA", at positions 508 to 807 of the family's 1533-position model. The record is from RNAcentral.